GACGAACGCUGGCGGCGUGCUUAACACAUGCAAGUCGAACGGAAAGGCCCUGCUUUUGUGGGGUGCUCGAGUGGCGAACGGGUGAGUAACACGUGAGUAACCUGCCCUUGACUUUGGGAUAACUUCAGGAAACUGGGGCUAAUACCGGAUAGGAGCUCCUGCUGCAUGGUGGGGGUUGGAAAGUUUCGGCGGUUGGGGAUGGACUCGCGGCUUAUCAGCUUGUUGGUGGGGUAGUGGCUUACCAAGGCUUUGACGGGUAGCCGGCCUGAGAGGGUGACCGGGCACAUUGGGACUGAGAUACGGCGCAGACUCCUACGGGAGGCAGCAGGGGGGAAUCUUGCACAAUGGGCGGAAGCCUGAUGAAGAAACGCCGCGUGCGGGAUGACGGCCUUCGGGUUGUAAACCGCUUUCGCCUGUGACGAAGCGGGAGUGACGGUAAUGGGUAAAGAAGCACCGGCUAACUACGUG
RNAcentral lists this ribosomal RNA (468 nucleotides) under uncultured bacterium. RNAcentral's name for it is "partial 16S ribosomal RNA". It matches the Rfam family "Bacterial small subunit ribosomal RNA", at positions 28 to 507 of the family's 1533-position model. The record is from RNAcentral.